UACGUAGGGGGCAAGCGUUGUCCGGAAUCAUUGGGCGUAAAGCGCGUGUAGGCGGCCCGAUAAGUCCGCUGUGAAAGUCCAGGGCUCAACCCUGGAAUGCCGGUGGAUACUGUCGGGCUCGAGUCCGGAAGAGGCGAGUGGAAUUCCUGGUGUAGCGGUGAAAUGCGCAGAUAUCAGGAAGAACACCAACGGCGAAGGCAGCUCGCUGGGACGGAACUGACGCUGAGGCGCGAAAGCGUGGGGAGCGAACAGG
Molecule: ribosomal RNA, 253 nt
Filed under: uncultured bacterium
Lineage: Bacteria
Description: partial 16S ribosomal RNA
Rfam family: Bacterial small subunit ribosomal RNA
Source: RNAcentral